GACCUCAGUUGUUAUGAUUUGAUCCAGCAGGGCUUCAGCCAGACCUUCUUGAAAAACAAAAAGUGGAGAAUACCUUAUGCCAUGGCACCAAGUUGUCAAGAAACUGCCUCCCAGAGUGAUCUCUUCCAAGACAGUUCAAUUCACCGCAGACUCUUGUAUUGGUUUCACGGUAUACAUACAUGAUGGAAAAACAGGU
This 196-nucleotide long non-coding RNA is filed under the name Fukomys damarensis (Damara mole-rat). RNAcentral describes it as "lncRNA (ENSFDAG00000026135.1)". The record is from RNAcentral. Lineage: Eukaryota; Metazoa; Chordata; Mammalia; Rodentia; Bathyergidae.